This 1129-nucleotide long non-coding RNA is filed under the name Coturnix japonica (Japanese quail). RNAcentral describes it as "lncRNA (ENSCJPG00005020615.1)". The record is from RNAcentral. Lineage: Eukaryota; Metazoa; Chordata; Aves; Galliformes; Phasianidae.
AUGUUUAAAAUAGGCCUUAAAGAUUUCUGCAAUGAGAUACCUUUAGAAGCAUUGGAAUAUGAUGAAGAUAAAGCAAGUGGGGUAGAACAGAUGCUGCUGAAAAACAAAUGGAAGCUGGCAAGCAGCUGAAGGCCUGUGGUGGUUGACCAAUCUGCUCUGAACUGUUCCAGGAGCCUCCAGAGAACAAGAGGUUUGACAACUUUAUUUGAAAUAUCUUGGGGGGAUAGAAACUGGAACAGCGUACAUCCUCUGUGGUAUGGCACAAAAUAGAGACGUACUUGGUGGAUGCUGCUUAUAGCCCAGGUUUCUCCUAGGUGCAGUGUGGUUUCCUACCUAAGCUGUGUCCUGCACGUAGUCUCUUACUGAGUCUGGAUAAGCUAAAUAUAUAAUCGUCCAUGCUUACAGCUUACAGAAUCCUGACAUAAAAGAAAUAAUUUGAUUUCGAUUUCUAAGGGAGGAGCACAAGGUACAACUGCUCCCUGGGGAUGGAGUGGUAAAAAGAAGCGUGCAGAUGCAAGUUUGGCUUGUUUCACGAAGCUCUUAAAAAUAUAUAUGUUAAAAAAUCAUAGUUUUUUUGUUCCAAGUGGUUCCUUUUCAAGAGAUGGGAGAUCUUGUUGGUGCUCGGAGUGCAAAAUCUAGUGCCAGUUUCCACCAACAGGUACUGUAAAUAAGUGGGCUGCUUGCAGCAAAAGCUGUAUUUGUAGAGUGCAGUGGAAAGUUGGUUUACUUGGGUCUUGUGAAAAGUUUUCAGAUAUGGAGACAAAAGAUAUUUAAGCCAGAUACCUCUCACUUUCCAAGCACAAAACAUACUUUCCCUUCUUUCUUCAAAUGUAGUUCCCCUUGCAAAACUUUGUGGAGAACAAUACAAUAAUCAGCUCUUAACAUCUAAUUAUGCUUUUCCCUUUACAAAAGGAACUCAUAUUCUUAAAUAACACUUCCUGGCAGCAGUGAGCUUUGUGGCUCCCUUUGAAAGAAAGGGGAAAACAAUGCAACCCAGCCCAAAUAUCUUCAGAUCAUUAAUGUACAGGGAAUUGGGUGCAGAAUCUUUUCUUAACUUCAUCACUAGAUGAAAAUAAUACUUACCCUUGAGCACUUGGCUGUAUUCUUGUACUGAAUGCCAACAAUAAUC